AACCAUACAACCUACUACCUCA
Molecule: microRNA, 22 nt
Filed under: Hyalella azteca
Lineage: Eukaryota; Metazoa; Arthropoda; Malacostraca; Amphipoda; Hyalellidae
Description: let-7a-3p
Source: RNAcentral